AUUGAACGCUAGCGGGAUGCUUUACACAUGCAAGUCGAACGGCAGCGCGGACUUCGGUCUGGCGGCGAGUGGCGAACGGGUGAGUAAUGUAUCGGAACGUGCCCAGUAGCGGGGGAUAACUACGCGAAAGCGUAGCUAAUACCGCAUACGCCCUACGGGGGAAAGCAGGGGAUCGUAAGACCUUGCACUAUUGGAGCGGCCGAUAUCGGAUUAGCUAGUUGGUGAGGUAACGGCUCACCAAGGCGACGAUCCGUAGCUGGUUUGAGAGGACGACCAGCCACACUGGGACUGAGACACGGCCCAGACUCCUACGGGAGGCAGCAGUGGGGAAUUUUGGACAAUGGGGGCAACCCUGAUCCAGCCAUCCCGCGUGUGCGAUGAAGGCCUUCGGGUUGUAAAGCACUUUCGGCAGGAAAGAAACGUCGCGGGCUAAUACCCCGUGGAACUGACGGUACCUGCAGAAUAAGCACCGGCUAACUACGUG
This 484-nucleotide ribosomal RNA is filed under the name uncultured bacterium. RNAcentral describes it as "partial 16S ribosomal RNA". It matches the Rfam family "Bacterial small subunit ribosomal RNA", at positions 30 to 507 of the family's 1533-position model. The record is from RNAcentral.